Molecule: long non-coding RNA, 846 nt
Organism: Harpegnathos saltator (Jerdon's jumping ant)
Lineage: Eukaryota; Metazoa; Arthropoda; Insecta; Hymenoptera; Formicidae
Exons: 3
Source: RefSeq, a predicted model, not a curated record
AGCGUGUCAUCGCGAUAGACGAUUCUUACGAUAUAUAUUACAUACUCGACACAUAUAUUUAUCUGUCAGGAUAUCUUUAGAACCCUUCGGGUCUCCGACUUUUUGUAGCUGAUCCCUCAUGAGGGUACGUUUUUUUCAUCGUUUCCGAUUUCCACGGAGUAUUGUUCCGAAAUAUAAGUUAUUCCAGUUGUCUCCUGUCAUUUAAGAAUCACCCAUCUCGCGUGGAAACACAAACAACACCCGUCUUCGUGCUUGCCGCUUUAUUUUUUUAGACCACCCUCUCUUACGGCCCACCAUCUGCACGCACGCUGACGCUUUACGUCGCUCGGCUGUCGAACGCGGACGACAAUUCGCAACGUUCGACGGGUGUGAACCACCCUGCGCACAUCUUUCCCUUCUCCCGGUGCAUCAACACAGAACGAAGGGCUUCCCUUUUCGGAGUUGCGGCUAUAUAAAGACGAAAAUGUCACCCAUUUAAUUCCACGGCAGCCGCAGAUCGUCUUUCGUAGAGUCACAAGGAAGCACUCAUGACGGUUCAAAGAAUCGGAUAAUUCAAUCAGUCCUCAAGCGAUUAAAACGAUAUUUCUCGGGCAGAAGAUACAAAACCCGGUAUACUACGGAAAUAACCGUGCAUUUAAUGCAUCUAGACGGAAAUAUGGGCGAUCGCUUUUGUCAAACGGACGGCCUGAUGUAUGGAGCGAGAAAAUACUUCGUGGAAGUAGAAGAAGAAGAAGAACCCCGGCGCUAUUCUUGCGUCCAGGAUUAUUUCGGGCCCAAACGUACGGAAUGAUUCACGGAAACAGCAUUCUCUUCGUCGAGCCGUCGCUAUUCAUCGCGAGGAAUAAA